UACGUAGGGUGCGAGCGUUGUCCGGAAUUAUUGGGCGUAAAGAGCUCGUAGGCGGUUUGUCACGUCUGCUGUGAAAUCCCGAGGCUCAACCUCGGGUCUGCAGUGGGUACGGGCAGACUGGAGUGCGGUAGGGGAGAAUGGAAUUCCUGGUGUAGCGGAGGAAUGCGCAGAUAUCAGGAGGAACACCGAUGGCGAAGGCAGUUCUCUGGGCCGUAACUGACGCUGAGGAGCGAAAGCAUGGGGAGCGAACAGG
RNAcentral lists this ribosomal RNA (253 nucleotides) under uncultured bacterium. RNAcentral describes it as "partial 16S ribosomal RNA". It matches the Rfam family "Bacterial small subunit ribosomal RNA", at positions 524 to 776 of the family's 1533-position model. The record is from RNAcentral.